UACAGAGGUCUCAAGCGUUGUUCGGAUUCAUUGGGCGUAAAGGGUGCGUAGGCGGCGCGGUAAGUCGGGUGUGAAAUCUCGGAGCUUAACUCCGAAACUGCAUUCGAUACUGCCGUGCUUGAGGACUGGAGAGGAGACUGGAAUUUACGGUGUAGCGGUGAAAUGCGUAGAUAUCGUAAGGAAGACCAGUGGCGAAGGCGGGUCUCUGGACCGUUCCUGACGCUGAGGCACGAAGGCCAGGGGAGCAAACGGG
Molecule: ribosomal RNA, 253 nt
Filed under: uncultured bacterium
Lineage: Bacteria
Description: partial 16S ribosomal RNA
Rfam family: Bacterial small subunit ribosomal RNA
Source: RNAcentral